Molecule: ribosomal RNA, 261 nt
Filed under: uncultured bacterium
Lineage: Bacteria
Description: partial 16S ribosomal RNA
Rfam family: Bacterial small subunit ribosomal RNA
Source: RNAcentral
AACGGGUGAGUAAUACAUAAGUAACCUGCCCUAGACAGGGGGAUAACUAUUGGAAACGAUAGCUAAGACCGCAUAGGUACGGACACUGCAUGGUGACCGUAUUAAAAGUGCCUCAAAGCACUGGUAGAGGAUGGACUUAUGGCGCAUUAGCUGGUUGGCGGGGUAACGGCCCACCAAGGCGACGAUCAGUAGCCGGCUUGAGAGAGUGAACGGCCACAUUGGGACUGAGAGACGGCCCAAACUCCUACGGGAGGCAGCAUG